RNAcentral lists this ribosomal RNA (164 nucleotides) under uncultured bacterium. Its description in RNAcentral is "partial 16S rRNA". It matches the Rfam family "Bacterial small subunit ribosomal RNA", at positions 355 to 511 of the family's 1533-position model. The record is from RNAcentral.
UAGGGAAUCUUCCACAAUGGGCGCAAGCCUGAUGGGGCAACGCCGCGUGAGUGAAGAAGGUCUUCGGAUCGUAAAACUCUGUUGUUAAAGAAGAACACGUAUGAGAGUAACUGUUCAUACGUUGACGGUAUUUAACCAGAAAGUCACGGCUAACUACGUGCCAG